Long non-coding RNA from Ostrea edulis (European flat oyster), 665 nucleotides. RefSeq lists it as uncharacterized. The record is from RefSeq and is a predicted model, not a curated record. The transcript has 2 exons. NCBI's taxonomy places the organism in Eukaryota, Metazoa, Mollusca, Bivalvia, Ostreida, Ostreidae.
GCAUGAGGGGCUGUAUAGGCUAAAUACAAGACGUUUGCAGUGUGUCUAUGAAAAUUUGAUAAGGGAAGUUUGGUUUUAUUUAAAUCCGGCAUAUUGAUUACGGUGGGAUCACAUCCAAUACAGAUUGUAGGUGAAGUACCACAAAUUUAGAUCUAUGCCUAGCGCUCAUGGACAUCGCAGUGAGGGUUCUUUCAAAGUGUCAUCGCCUGCCGUGAUACGUGACUUCCGUUUUUAAGGUUAUAUCCGAAAAAACCUUGAAUUCUUCUAACUAUCGAUCGCUUGGCGAAGCAAUAAUCACUACCUAUGUUUACGUCUUAGAUUUGAAGCGGCCCUGGCACGAACGGAGCUCGAACUUACGAUCUCCCGGUUAUGAAGCGAAAGCUCUAUAACUGAGCUACCGUGAUAUAUUUUUGGAAACAUCUGAUUUACUAAACAUGGCAGUUACUGUGUGUUCUACCGCAUUUGAAUUUCCCUACCCAGAAUUUAACCUGAGCAUAAGAUGGUACAGAAGGCCCAUAAAUAUCGGCCGUGUAUUUCCUUGCUUGUUUUACCUUUUAAAUACAAGUACCUAAUUAUAGCACGGUACUCAACUUUAGAUGAAAAGCUUGCUUUUGCAUCACUAGCCAUGUUUGACAUUCAAUAUCUUAUUAAAGAAUGAAUCGAUA